UCUAGCUCACCUCUGUUUUCUAUAUUUUCCUUCAGUUUUUACUACCUCACCUCUGUUUUUUAUACCUUACUUCAGUCUUCUGUACCCUACUUACAUUUUCACUACCUCACUUCUGUUUUUUCAUAAAUCACUUACUUUUCCUGUGAUUUACUUUGAUUUUCUCUACCUCACUUCUGUUUUCUGUACCUCACUUUUGUUUUCUGUACCUCAUUUCCGUUUUCUGUACCUCAUUUCCGUUUUCUGUACCUCAUGUUUUCACUACCUCACUUCUGUUUUUCUUAACUUACUUCCGUUUUCUGUACCUCACUUCCAUUUUCUGAACUUCACUUCCAUUUCCCUUACAUCAUUUUUAUCCUCUGUACCUCACUUCUGUUUUCCAUAACUCACUUCCGUUUCCUGUGACUUACUUCCGUUUUCUAUACCUCACUUCCGUUUUCUGUAUCUCACUUCCGCAAUGGUCCCCACCUUGCCUGGAGACCAAGCUUUCUUUGCAGGCCUCAUCAAGUGUGCUUGUGGCUUCAUCAAUACAAUCAGGUGCCUCUGGGGGACAGGUUGAAAGUCACACCAAGUCUGCUGGUUCUACACUAGCAGAGAUGAAGUUUGGGUUGACAGAUUCCCAGUGAGAAUGCCAGCAUCUGCUCUUCAACAUCCCAUGGCUGACCAGCUCCUUUACCUGCUAUAUUUUAAAUUUGGAAGCAAUUAAUUUGGAGGAGGAAAGAGUCUAAGUAAGAUGCCUAACAGAUCUUGGUGCGUUGACAACCUUGAAACUUGAUGUUAAUGGACAGGUACAAAGAUGAAGAUGAGCUGAACAGUCUUAGUGGUUGAAGCUGCUGCAUGUAAGAUAAGCAUGUUAAAUCCAUGCCAUGUAUACUGCAAAUCCCAAUCCUGUGCACAAAGCAGGCAUUGCUAAGAAGACCCUGCUGUAUUUAAAAAGCCUAGAUGCACUGAUAGAACCCUCAACACAGGACUCCAGCCAUGGACUACCAUUGGUUCAGAGCUGCCAGUCCAGUAGUAGCUUAUGCAUCACCUACGGUAGAGUGGAAACUCUCCUGCACACGCCAGUCACUCCAAGGGCACUUUAAUUAAAACCACACAAAAUUUUUGUAGAUAACAAUAAACUUGAUUAUGGAUAAAUCAUGAAAUCAAUAAAUAUAGAGUUCCUGGUACUCACCACCACCACCCCUUCUCUAAUUUUUUUUCAAAUUCAGGUAAUCUCUAUACCUUUUGCUUAAAAAAGAAAAGACAAGAAAAUAAAAUUUUACCUUACAAUUCUAACCAUCCUGAAAAGUUUUUGUGGCCUGGGUUAGACAUGGGAAGGGGUUAGGAAGUUCUCAGUAAGAACAAAAGAAGCAAUUAUGCAGGUCAAUAUACAAUGCAUUGAUGACCUAGGUGUGUGGUGGAUGUAGGAGAUGGAAUUCAGCCAGGUGCAUAUUUUCCUGUAAGAGCCUCGAAUGAGUGUGGGAUGAAUAAGAGGAUGAAGGAAUGGUAUAUGUACACACACAGCAAUUUCUCAAUAAUGGAUUUUGCAGACAUAAAUGUCAUCUAGCUUUUAUCGUUUGGUAUAAAAUCUCAAAGGCCUUAGCAAAACAAUAAACUUCAAUUAGCUUGAUUGUGAAUUUUUAUGAUUUCUUAAUCUAUUAACUUCUCAUUGCUAAUGUUACGGCAGUAAUUUUGGAAUAACCUG
RNAcentral lists this long non-coding RNA (1684 nucleotides) under Homo sapiens (human). Its description in RNAcentral is "HSALNT0355912". Lineage: Eukaryota; Metazoa; Chordata; Mammalia; Primates; Hominidae. The record is from RNAcentral.